This is a non-coding RNA of Acyrthosiphon pisum (pea aphid), 47 nucleotides long. The record is from Rfam. Lineage: Eukaryota; Metazoa; Arthropoda; Insecta; Hemiptera; Aphididae.
UCAUCAGUUUUUUUUAAAACUACACCUGAUUAAAUUAAUGUUAAUAU